GUUCUGUUCUGUCUCUUUUCUUUUAUCUCCUUCUCACAGCUUCUACUUUGUUCGUCAACACCAGAGCUUCAACUACGCCAGCCACGUUUAAUAUUCACAAUUAAGUCUGCGUCAACCCCAGAGCUACACUUGCAAAACUAUAAAUUCAUCUCUUCCACUACUCUCCGAUCUCUUCCCUCAAGGUAAGCUAUUUUUUUUUUUUUAAAUAACAUCUUUUGCUAUUCGAUUAUCAAUCGAUAUAUCUAGUUAUAGUUUAUUUUGUUGAAUUAAAAUCGAUCCAUCGAUAAAUUAAUCUGAUGUCUGAUGUUGUUAUUGUUUUUUUCAUUGGAUUAUUUCCUUAAUUUUGCAUCAAUUGACUUGCAUCAACACUCAACGAGGAAGAGAAAAAUUGAUGUUCCAUAUCUCUUUAGCCCCAGAAGCUAAGGUAGUAUAUCUGACUUGCGUAUUUAUCUUUUGUUUGGUUGUAUUUUUUUUUUGGCUCUAUAAAUUUAUCAUUUUUGUGUUGGAUUUAUAUACUCUUGAUUCUUAUGCUUGAUGAUGGUGAGGAGUUUAAUUAAGUUUUAUGAAACUUUUGAUAUUUUGUCUUGAUUAUAUAGGUGAAAGCAAAGGGUUCCAUAGAUUUACAAGUACAGUUUGGGUGAUUGCUUUUAGU
Molecule: long non-coding RNA, 652 nt
Filed under: Aquilegia coerulea
Lineage: Eukaryota; Viridiplantae; Streptophyta; Magnoliopsida; Ranunculales; Ranunculaceae
Description: long non-coding RNA (ACOE_LNC002357)
Source: RNAcentral